CUCGGGUGUCUUCGCAGAGACAGAUGAGGUGGGCUGGCGAUUCCCUAGCCUCAGAUGGCUCUGCCACCAGCCAGCUCUGUGAUCCUGGCCGAUGGGGUGCCAGGCAUUAGAAACCUUCCCUCCAAUCCUCACCAUGUCUCCAUUUUGCCAAAGAAGAAACUGAGGUUAAGGUCGCGAUGCUCUGGCCAGCAUCACAGGUAAACGAUUUUGGCAGUGCCCGGAGAAAGAUAGAAGUAAGACCUAAAGAGGAACUUUCCGCAUGUUAUGGGAGAGCCCCUGGGGCGAGGAGGCGAGGGCAGCCUUCCCCAGGCCAAGGGAGCAGCCAUCGCUCUUGGAUCUGUUUUUCCUCAAGCGUCUGUCCUGUGGGGCCUAGUCCCCAAGCGGCAGUCCUGGACCUAACGGGAGAAGGGGCUGGGGGAAGAGGGCGCACCCCCAGCCCGGGACCCACAGCAGCCCUAGCCAGUCCCCCACUCUCUCCCUCUGUAGGGGCCUCUCUCUGAGAUCGGGUCCUCCUCCUGCAGGGCAGCAGAGUGGAAGCCAGGGCCUGGGACCCUCUGGCUGGGCAAGGAGGGACUGGAGUCCGGCUCCCGGUGACCCCGUCCCCAGUGCCAGCGGUGGGGUCGCCUGUGGCGGCCCGGACAGGCCACGGGUCCCUCUCCCCAAGUCCCAUUACGUUGUAUUUAUGUUUCAUUUUAUAGUUUUUUUUUCCUCCUCCCUUAUUAUUGUCUCACUCUGGGGGAGGCAAAGGAUAUAAUAUAUUCAUCUUUAUUAUACCAAAUCUGUGUGAAGCAUUUAAUAAAACGCUGUUUCCACA
Molecule: long non-coding RNA, 814 nt
Filed under: Homo sapiens (human)
Lineage: Eukaryota; Metazoa; Chordata; Mammalia; Primates; Hominidae
Description: non-protein coding LBX1-AS1:10
Source: RNAcentral